Molecule: ribosomal RNA, 687 nt
Filed under: uncultured soil bacterium
Lineage: Bacteria
Description: bacterial SSU rRNA
Rfam family: Bacterial small subunit ribosomal RNA
Source: RNAcentral
UCCUGGCUCAGAACGAACGCUGGCGGCGUGGAUAAGACAUGCAAGUCGAACGCUGAUUAUGAGGUAGCAAUAUUUCAUGGUCGGAGUGGCGCAAGGGUGCGUAACACGUGGGCAAUUUACCGUAAAGCCUGGAGUAACUCGCUGAAAGGCGAGCUAAUACCGGACGUGAUUUCUGGGGGGCAUCCUCUGGAAAUCAAAGCUGGGGACCGUAAGGCCUGGCACUUUUCGAUAAGCCCGCGGCCUAUCAGCUAGUUGGUGAGGUAAUGGCUCACCAAGGCUAAGACGGGUAGCUGGUCUGAGAGGACGACCAGCCACACUGGAACUGAGACACGGUCCAGACACCUACGGGUGGCAGCAGUCGAGAAUUUUUCACAAUGGGCGCAAGCCUGAUGGAGCGACGCCGCGUGGGGGAUGAAUGGCUUCGGCCCGUAAACCCCUGUCAUUUGCGAACAAACCGGAUUAUUUAAAAGAUGAUCCGCUGAUUGUAGCGAAAGAGGAAGGGACGGCUAACUCUGUGCCAGCAGCCGCGGUAAUACAGAGGUCCCAAGCGUUGUUCGGAUUCACUGGGCGUAAAGGGUGCGUAGGUGGUCGGGUAAGUCUGAGGUGAAAUCUCCGAGCUCAACUCGGAAACUGCCUUGGAUACUAUUCGGCUCGAGGGUUGGAGGGGGGACUGGAAUUCUCGGUGUA